GGGUGCGAUCAUACCAGCACUAAUGCACCGGAUCCCAUCAGAACUCCGAAGUUAAGCGUGCUUGGGCGAGAGUAGUACUAGGAUGGGUGACCUCCUGGGAAGUCCUCAUGUUGCACCCC
This 119-nucleotide ribosomal RNA is filed under the name Eucalyptus grandis. Lineage: Eukaryota; Viridiplantae; Streptophyta; Magnoliopsida; Myrtales; Myrtaceae. The record is from RNAcentral.